CUCCAUAUUAUCUGGUGGAUCCCCAUUAGAGCUAUUGGUUUUCAUCUUCUGGUGCUUUCUCUCCUAUAGGAGAAACUAUAGUCUGUGGUGGACGAAGUUGGUCAGCAAACACAACGCACUACUCCUAUUGACAAAUGCCUAUGAUCUGUAGUCUGUACAAUUUGAUAACCGAGCAAAAUUACAGAAAAGUUGUUGUUCAUUUCACGGUAUUCUACAUGCCCAACUUUUCAAGAUUCGAUCUAUUUCUGAUUUCUGAGGAAUUGUGCCUUCAAACAUGUUCUUACUAAGAGACAAAUGUUUCAACUUUGUAAGCUGAUCAAUAGAUUUUGGAAUGGUACCAUUGAAACAAUUCGCGAUGAGAUCCAAAAAAGUUAGCCUAGAUAUUCGAUGAAUAUCCGUAGGGAAUGGUCCAUAGAAUUGGUUACCAGAAAGAUCAAGAAUUUCCUGUCUUGAACACUUGUACAAAACUGUUGGAAGUUCACCUGAUAAGUUACUAUCUGCAAGUUCAGUAUCUACAAGAUUUUUGAGUUCACAAAUGAUUGGCGGAAUAAUAUUUCCACCAAGUUUUUGUUUUCUUAGACUUAUUACUGUGACAAAACCAUCACUAGAACAUGUAAUUCCACUGUUUUUAUUUGUUGUUGGUGUACAACUUAUAAUGCUGAAACUUCGCCGAGUAAGAUGAAGAUAAAAAUCUGAUUUGUCGACUGCAUAGGUUACAAGGUACUGCACUGCGUAUGCUGGUGUAACCACGGUAUUUGAUGAUGUUCUAAAGCAGUAGAGUCAUUCUCUGUUAUUUUUUUUUUCACAAGUAUCUUGCAACAUACACAUCCAACAGCAACCCAAAAGAUUCAUUUAUAUCAAAAGAUUCUUUAUUCUACUUCUACUAGAUGUUAGUAGAAGUAAAAAUGCGGUUCAAGUGCAUUCAAUUUAUUUCCACAUAUAUCUCUAUUGCAGGAUUGCAAUCUAACUCUUUAUUAACAACAAGGUGAACUAUAAGUUAUAGUUAUUUAAAAAAUUACACCAAUUUAUCAAUAUCAAUUUUACUGUGAUGCACUAUUUUGCAGGCAAAGAUAUAUUGCGGAUUAAUCUUCAGAUAAUAUGGAGAAUAUUUUGGCAAGGAAAUAGCUCCUGUAGGUGCUUUUGCUAUGACAAGGCUGCUUGUAAAUUUCAACAGGGAAACUUAAGUGAAUUUCCUUAUCAUGGUUUCUUUCUUUCAUUAUGAUAUAUUUUGUACUGCCAAGCACCUCCAUCAUCCACCGUAUUUGACAUAAUAAUUUGUGUUUGUACAGGUUUACAUACAACAACUAGAAUUGACCCAAACCAGUUCCCAUUUUUAACAUAUAAGGAACAUGGUCUGUUGCAAAAAUGUCUUGCUCACCACAACCAAUUGUUGUAAUAUUACUUUUUGGUAAUUUCUAUACCCCAGAUCUGGGAGUUAGCAGGAACGCAGUGAUCAAGGGUGUUUUCCAUCCUUAUAGUCGAACUAAUUGAAUUAAACUGCUUUUGUUUCCUUUUGCUCCGAAUCUAUUGCCAUCGU
This is a long non-coding RNA of Lycium barbarum (goji berry), 1537 nucleotides long. RefSeq lists it as uncharacterized. The transcript is spliced from 3 exons. NCBI's taxonomy places the organism in Eukaryota, Viridiplantae, Streptophyta, Magnoliopsida, Solanales, Solanaceae. The record is from RefSeq and is a predicted model, not a curated record.